UCACGUGUUUCAAACAGAGCUUCUACGUUUGCCGGUCGUUAUGCGUUGGUUUGUAUUUAUGCCAAUGCAACCAAGAGACUGUGCUAAGGGCUCCUCUUGUGUAGUUUCCACCCCAAGCAGACAUCGGAAGUACUCAAGAUUUCAUCAGGCAACCUGUCAGCGUGAGCCUUCUGGCCGAAUGUUGCUGUCUUAGAGUUGAAAAUUACUAAGAGACUGGUGUGCAGAGGACAGCAGAAGGUGACUGACAGUCGGCUGGCGAACAAGUGGUUGGUGAGGCAGUGAGCAGAACAAGCGGCUGGCGAGGCAGUGAGAACAAGCGGCUGGCAGGACGGCCAGUGCAGAGGAACCAUGGCUGAUGGGGCGGCCAGCCAAAGCAAGUGCUCAGAUGGUGAAGCAAGCAAGGUGCCUUCUUCCCCAGGUGGGAGGUGAACUCACACAGAUGCACCUCUGAACCCUGGGUCUUCUCUGACCAAGGACAACCACUGUGAGUGGGGUAUGGUAAGGGAGCAGAGAGUGGCACAGAAAAGGAACUUUUGGUCGUAGAACUCAAGAACAUGAGGCGGAAAGCACUGCCCCACACACGCUGGGAUGGGUAUCCUGCUCACAGUUUUAUGAUUAUGAAUCCCGCUUGUGGCAUUUUCCCUAAUUAAUGUUGGGUGACUUCCCUCCUUUCAUUAACA
Mauremys reevesii (Reeves's turtle) is the source of this 680-nucleotide long non-coding RNA. RefSeq lists it as uncharacterized. The record is from RefSeq and is a predicted model, not a curated record. The transcript is spliced from 3 exons. Lineage: Eukaryota; Metazoa; Chordata; Testudines; Geoemydidae.